UACGGAGGGGGCUAGCGUUGUUCGGAAUUACUGGGCGUAAAGCGCACGUAGGCGGCUUUGUAAGUUAGAGGUGAAAGCCCGGGGCUCAACUCCGGAAUUGCCUUUAAGACUGCAUCGCUCGAAUUGUGGAGAGGUGAGUGGAAUUCCGAGUGUAGAGGUGAAAUUCGUAGAUAUUCGGAAGAACACCAGUGGCGAAGGCGACUUACUGGACACAUAUUGACGCUGAGGUGCGAAAGCGUGGGGAUCAAACAGG
RNAcentral lists this ribosomal RNA (253 nucleotides) under uncultured bacterium. RNAcentral's name for it is "partial 16S ribosomal RNA". It matches the Rfam family "Bacterial small subunit ribosomal RNA", at positions 524 to 776 of the family's 1533-position model. The record is from RNAcentral.